RNAcentral lists this ribosomal RNA (248 nucleotides) under uncultured bacterium. Its description in RNAcentral is "partial 16S ribosomal RNA". It matches the Rfam family "Bacterial small subunit ribosomal RNA", at positions 523 to 769 of the family's 1533-position model. The record is from RNAcentral.
AUACGUAGGUGGCGAAGCGUUGUCCGGAUUUACUGGGCGUAAAGGGAGCGUAGGCGGAUACUUAAGUGGGAUGUGAAAUACCCGGGCUCAACCCGGGUGCUACAUUCCAAACUGGGUAUCUAGAGUGUGGGAGAGGAAAGUGGAAUUCCUAGUGUAGCGGUGAAAUGCGUAGAGAUUAGGAAGAACACCAGUGGCGAAGGCGACUUUCUGGACCAUAACUGACGCUGAGGCUCGAGAGCGUGGGGAGC